Long non-coding RNA from Myotis davidii, 409 nucleotides. RefSeq lists it as uncharacterized. The transcript is spliced from 2 exons. The record is from RefSeq and is a predicted model, not a curated record. NCBI's taxonomy places the organism in Eukaryota, Metazoa, Chordata, Mammalia, Chiroptera, Vespertilionidae.
UUUCGGGCUCCAGCUUGCAGGGCACCACCUGCUGCGACCCGAAUGGGUGCAGAUUAUACAACUGCACCAUCCCGGCCACCGCAGUGAGCCAGUCCUGGCGCCCGGGGACCCCGCGCCGGCCGCAGAGGAAGGACCACUUCCGGACUCCAGGAGACAACAGGCUCAUCAAAUCAGUGAGGCAGAGAUGUGGACAAGCAGGUUGCUCUGGUCAACCAUAGAGGACUGAAAACUCAUAGAAGGCUGCUAUAGAAAACAACCAGCCUAGCUGCCCAUAAUUCAUGUUUUAGAUACCAUACUCAUGAAUAUCCCUUUCCCUUCACCAGUAUCUGCCAUAUUGUCCUUUUUUGAUUAAUUUUCUCAUUCAAGGCUGAAAAUUACAAUUUCUGUACUAAAAUAAAAUUUCAAAACU